AGGCCCGGAAAGAAUUAGGUCCACGAUCCACAGGCACAAUCAUUCUGAUCGUGUUUCUUUCCGGGCAAGCCAUGGAUCAAUUUAUAAAACAGGAUGAGACUGGUGAUUUAAUUGAGACAGGAAUGAAUGUUGCAAAUCAUUUCCUAUCCGCCCCCAUUCAGGGAACCAACUCGCUGAGCAAGGCCUCAAUCAUCCCUGGCGUUGCACCUGUACUCAUUGGCAAUCCAGAGCAAAAGAACAUUCAGCACCCUACCGCAUCACAUCAGGGAUCCAAGUCAAAGGGCAGCGGCUCAGGGGUCAGGUCCAUCAUAGUCCCACCCUCCGAAGCAGGCAAUGGAGGGACUCAGGAUCCUGAGCCCCUUUUUGCACAAACAGGACAGGGUGGUAUAGUCACAACCGUUUAUCAGGAUCCAACCAUCCAACCAACAGGUUCAUCUCGAAGUGUGGAAUUGGCGAAGAUCGGAAAAGAGAGAAUGAUUAAUCGAUUUGUUGAGAAACCUAGAAUCUCAACGCCGGUGACAGAAUUUAAGAGGGGGGCCGGGAGCGGCUGCUCAAGGCCAGACAAUCCAAGAGGAGGGCAUAGACGGGAAUGGAGCCUCAGCUGGGUCCAAGGAGAGGUCCGGGUCUUUGAGUGGUGCAACCCUAUAUGCUCACCUAUCACUGCCGCAGCAAGAUUCCACUCCUGCAAAUGUGGGAAUUGCCCCGCAAAGUGCGAUCAGUGCGAACGAGAUUAUGGACCUCCUUAGGGGGAUGGAUGCUCGCCUGCAACAUCUUGAACAAAAGGUGGACAAGGUGCUUGCACAGGGCAGCAUGGUGACCCAAAUAAAGAAUGAAUUAUCAACAGUAAAGACAACAUUAGCAACAAUUGAAGGGAUGAUGGCAACAGUAAAGAUCAUGGAUCCUGGAAACCCGACAGGGGUCCCAGUUGAUGAACUUAGAAGAAGUUUUAGUGAUCAUGUGACAAUUGUUAGUGGACCAGGAGAUGUGCCGUUCAGCUCCAGUGAAGAACCCACACUGUAUUUGGAUGAGCUGGCGAGGCCCGUCUCCAAGCCUCGUCCUGCAAAGCAGACAAAACCCCAACCAGUAAAGGAUUUAGCAGGACGAAAAGUGAUGAUUACCAAAAUGAUCACUGAUUGUGUGGCUAACCCUCAAAUGAAGCAGGCGUUCGAGCAACGAUUGGCAAAGGCCAGCACCGAGGAUGCUCUGAACGACAUCAAGAGAGACAUCAUACGAAGCGCCAUAUGAAUUCACCAGAAGCACCAGACUCAAGGAAAAAUCCAUGAACUGGAAGCCACAAUGAUUCCCUAUUAAAUAAAAAA
This 1319-nucleotide unclassified non-coding RNA is filed under the name Mumps orthorubulavirus. Lineage: Riboviria; Orthornavirae; Negarnaviricota; Monjiviricetes; Mononegavirales; Paramyxoviridae. The record is from RNAcentral.